Molecule: transfer RNA, 75 nt
Filed under: Betaproteobacteria bacterium
Lineage: Bacteria; Pseudomonadati; Pseudomonadota; Betaproteobacteria
Description: tRNA-Met
Rfam family: tRNA
About the family: Transfer RNA (tRNA) molecules are approximately 80 nucleotides in length. Their secondary structure includes four short double-helical elements and three loops (D, anti-codon, and T loops).
Source: RNAcentral
GAUGAACUAGCUCAGCGGUAGAGCGCGGGCCUCAUCAGCCCGAGGCGAAAGGUUCGAUUCCUUUGUUCAUCACCA